CCUGGCGGCGAUAGCGCGGUGGUCCCACCUGACCCCAUGCCGAACUCAGAAGUGAAACGCCGUAGCGCCGAUGG
This 74-nucleotide ribosomal RNA is filed under the name Klebsiella aerogenes. RNAcentral also lists the same sequence under 1 other name. Lineage: Bacteria; Pseudomonadati; Pseudomonadota; Gammaproteobacteria; Enterobacterales; Enterobacteriaceae. The record is from RNAcentral.